UGAAAACGCAACACUUUUGUUUUUAAAAAAAUUCUUAUAAUUUUUAUUUUAUUUAUAUAAGAACUUUGUAUAGUUGGUUGAAAAUGACUUUUAAGACAAUUGUUGACAAUUUUACGGUUGAGUGAUUUUUGGAACAAAUGCGAAGUAAGGGUUAUUUUGAACGGACAUAAACCGAGUUCACCGCUUUUCAACAUACCCACCAUUUUCACGAUUUUGUCAUUUAAAGCUUGGCUCAUGUCAUGAAUUUUCCCGCCCUUAUUGUUAACAAACUGCAAUAAACAUCUGAGUAAAUGCCAGGACUUUCUGACAACCAGCGACAUGCAGUUUUGGGCAUGAUCCAAUGAAGCCUUUCACAGCAUACAAUUACGAGAAGACUGAACUUGUAGCCUCUACAAUAACCCAAAUCAUCCACAAAUUCAACCAAAAUGAAUCAUUUAAUGAUAAGCCACAUCCCGGGAUAUAAAAACAAGAAACGCUCAGCAAGACCGAUACAUUUGGUCUUUAACAUAUCCGAUAUCGACUCUGAUGGCUGUUCAAAGGUCACGAGAGGUCAAUGGUGGUCACGGUAGAACCUUUGGAGCAAUUUCAGUAAAGCACCAUUUGCGCAGAAAUUGUUAAAGAGCACCACAGUCUUUCCUUAGUGACAUCUAAACGGCCGUCUGGCGUAAACAUCGAAUUCUGUAGACCAAAAAUCAUUCAUUAUGUACCAAAAAC
This 714-nucleotide long non-coding RNA is filed under the name Mytilus galloprovincialis (Mediterranean mussel). The record is from RNAcentral. Lineage: Eukaryota; Metazoa; Mollusca; Bivalvia; Mytilida; Mytilidae.